AGUCCGUUGCCUCGGCGGGAUCUCUUGCCCCGGGCGCGUCGCAGCCCCGGAUCCCAUGGCGCCCGCCGGAGGACCAACCAAACUCUUUCUCUCUCUCCGUCGCGGCUCCCGUCGCGGCUCUGUUUUAUUUUUGCUCUGAGCCUUUCUCGGCGACCCUAGCGGGCGUCUCGAAAAUGAAUCAAAACUUUAACUUUCAACAACGGAUCUCUUGGUUAUGCUCUUGGUUCUGGCAUCGAUGAAGAAGGCAGCGAAAUGCGAUAAGUAAUGUGAAUUGCAGAAUUCAGUGAAUCAUCGAAUCUUUGAACGCACAUUGCGCCCGCCAGUAUUCUGGCGGGCAUGCCUGUCCNNNNNUCAUUUCUUCAACCCUCGAACCCCUCCGGGGGGUCGGCGUUGGGGAUCGGCCCCUCACCGGGCCGCCCCCGAAAUCCAGUGGCGGUCUCGCCGCAGCCUCCUCCUGCGCAGUAGUUUGCACACUCGCACCGGGAGCGCGGCGCGGCC
This 498-nucleotide ribosomal RNA is filed under the name Trichoderma sinense. RNAcentral describes it as "eukaryotic LSU rRNA". The stretch from base 189 to 354 matches the Rfam family "5.8S ribosomal RNA". Lineage: Eukaryota; Fungi; Ascomycota; Sordariomycetes; Hypocreales; Hypocreaceae. The record is from RNAcentral.